UACGUAGGGUGCGAGCGUUGUCCGGAAUUACUGGGCGUAAAGAGCUCGUAGGUGGUUUGUCGCGUUGUCCGUGAAAACUCACAACUCAAUUGUGGGCGUGCGGGCGAUACGGGCAGACUGGAGUACUGCAGGGGAGACUGGAAUUCCUGGUGUAGCGGUGGAAUGCGCAGAUAUCUGGAGGAACACCGGUGGCGAAGGCGGCAUCCUGGACCGGCAUUGACGCUGAGGAGCGAAAGCCAGGGGAGCAAACGGG
RNAcentral lists this ribosomal RNA (253 nucleotides) under uncultured bacterium. Its description in RNAcentral is "partial 16S ribosomal RNA". It matches the Rfam family "Bacterial small subunit ribosomal RNA", at positions 524 to 776 of the family's 1533-position model. The record is from RNAcentral.